RNAcentral lists this ribosomal RNA (406 nucleotides) under uncultured bacterium. Its description in RNAcentral is "partial 16S ribosomal RNA". It matches the Rfam family "Bacterial small subunit ribosomal RNA", at positions 30 to 526 of the family's 1533-position model. The record is from RNAcentral.
AUUGAACGCUGGCGGCAGGCCUAACACAUGCAAGUCGAACGAGUGGCGGACGGGUGAGUAAUGUCUGGGAAAAUGCCUGAUGGAGGGGGAUAACUACUGGAAACGGUAGCUAAUACCGCAUACCAUUAGAGGUGCCCAUAUGGGAUUAGCUAGUUGGUGGGGUAACGGCUCACCAAGGCGACGAUCCGUAGCUGGUCUGAGAGGAUGACCAGCCACACUGGAACUGAGACACGGUCCAGACUCCUACGGGAGGCAGCAGUGGGGAAUAUUGCACAAUGGGGGCAAGCCUGAUACAGCCAUGCCGCGUGUAUGAAGAAGGCCUUCGGGUUGUAAAGUACUUUCAGCGGGGAGGCGUUACCCGCAGAAGAAGCACCGGCUAACUCCGUGCCAGCAGCCGCGGUAAUAC